AUUCCAGCUCCAAUAGCGUAUAUUAAAGUUGUUGCAGUUAAAACGCUCGUAGUCGGAUUUCGGGGCGGGCCGACCGGUCUGCCGAUGGGUAUGCACUGGCCGGCGCGUCCUUCCACCCGGAGACCGCGCCUACUCUUAACUGAGCGGGCGCGGGAGACGGGUCUUUUACUUUGAAAAAAUCAGAGUGUUUCAAGCAGGCAGUCGCUCUUGCAUGGAUUAGCAUGGGAUAAUGAAAUAGGACUCUGGUGCUAUUUUGUUGGUUUCGAACACCGGAGUAAUGAUUAACAGGGACAGUCAGGGGCACUCGUAUUCCGCCGAGAGAGGUGAAAUUCUCAGACCAGCGGAAGACGAACCACUGCGAAAGCAUUUGCCAGGGAUGUUUUCAUCA
This 388-nucleotide ribosomal RNA is filed under the name Gephyrocapsa sp. Its description in RNAcentral is "partial small subunit ribosomal RNA". It matches the Rfam family "Eukaryotic small subunit ribosomal RNA", at positions 582 to 975 of the family's 1831-position model. Lineage: Eukaryota; Haptophyta; Isochrysidales; Noelaerhabdaceae. The record is from RNAcentral.